UGGGGAAUAUUGGACAAUGGGGGAAACCCUGAUCCAGCAAUGCCGCGUGAGUGAAGAAGGCCUUAGGGUUGUAAAGCUCUUUCGCCCGCGAAGAUAAUGACGGUAGCGGGAGAAGAAGCCCCGGCUAACUCCGUGCCAGCAGCCGCGGUAAUACGGAGGGGGCUAGCGUUGUUCGGAAUUACUGGGCGUAAAGCGUACGUAGGCGGAUGCGCAAGUUGGGGGUGAAAUCCCGGGGCUUAACCUCGGAAUUGCCCUCAAAACUGCACGUCUUGAGACCGAGAGAGGUAAGGGGAAUUCCUAGUGUAGAGGUUAAAUUCGUAGAUAUUAGGAAGAACACCAGUGGCGAAGGCGCCUUACUGGCUCGGUACUGACGCUGAGGUACGAAAGCGUGGGGAGCAAACA
Molecule: ribosomal RNA, 402 nt
Filed under: uncultured bacterium
Lineage: Bacteria
Description: bacterial SSU rRNA
Rfam family: Bacterial small subunit ribosomal RNA
Source: RNAcentral